Molecule: transfer RNA, 68 nt
Filed under: Methylophaga thalassica
Lineage: Bacteria; Pseudomonadati; Pseudomonadota; Gammaproteobacteria; Thiotrichales; Piscirickettsiaceae
Also listed under: 2 other names
Rfam family: tRNA
About the family: Transfer RNA (tRNA) molecules are approximately 80 nucleotides in length.
Source: RNAcentral
CGGUGUAGCUCAGUUGGUAGAGCAGCUGAUUUGUAAUCAGCGGGUCGUAGGUUCAAGUCCUAUCUCCG